AUAUAUAUAUUAAUGGCAUGAUAAAUAUUACUAUAAAGUUCAACACCAGCCCAAUCUAAAGCCUCAAAUAUGAAACGAAUUAUGCACCUUUCUGAAAUCAAACACUAUAACCUUUACUACUAACCUUCAUGAAGUAUGAUUCAUUGCAGGACUCCUGUAUUUUACUGAUUUAGUUGUAUUGUUGUAAACUGACUCAACGUAUUUAAUAGAAAAACAAUUUGAAAACCCAAACAAAUUCUUCCAGCAGAUGGAGCCACAUACAUUAUUCCUUUAGGACCAUCACUUUACAUUUCAUUUACAGUUUUUCUCAAUUGUUUACACACAAAUACUGGUACUUGACACACAAUGACCACAACAUGUAACUCAUGCACCAACCCCCUGAACCAAUUCUGCUAAACUACAAGCACAAUUCUUGCUUUACACUUUUUUCAAAACACUACACACAAUUCUCUGCAUUCUCUGCACAAUUUUCAUGAAGAAAAUUUUGUUUUCACAAGAAAAACACUGUCAUUCAAAAUUCUAAAGUCAAUUGCCCUACUAUGCACACUGACUGUCACAUGGGCAAACACCUGGGCACACAGUGUUACAAUUAGCAAUCAGAGCUUUAGCAUAAAAGGGCAACAGGUGAGCUCUUCUGUUUUGGAGCAAUGGAUGACAACAACAGAGCGAGAGGAGUGAGAGUAAGAGGAGGAGGAGGACGAGGACGGGGAGGACAAGGACGACAAGGACGAGGAAGGCCAAGGACCGUAAACUCUGAUGAGAUCCGAGUCACUUUGGUUGACCAAAGCUAUGGAGGAAUUCUUUUCUGCCUGGAGAUGGAAAGUUUAUGACCGAAAUCCACAAACACAUAUCCCCCUUCUCUGAGCUAUGGAAGACGCAUGUGAAGAUAUAGCAGUUGAUACUUUUCAUGGCUGAAUUCGACAUGCUGAGCGAUAUUUCCCCCGCUGCUUGGCCAGGGAAAACAUUGCUUGUGAUGUGGAUGAGGUUCUGUGGAACAGACCGGAACAGAAGACAGGAUGCAGCAUAGAUUUUUACUGUAACUGUAUACAGUAAAUUCUUCUGUUGUUUUGUAUGUAGACCACUGUAUGUGCAACUUUGUGUUGCUUGGGAAGGUACACUGUGUGCAUUGUUUUCGUGGGGAAAAUAAAAUAUAUUUGUUACCAUGUAUUUGUGUGUUCAAGAGUACAAAAACAAUAUUCUAAAAUAUUGUACAACACACGUAUGUAUGUACUGUCUGUAGUAAGUAUUAAAAAAAUGGUCAAAGUCAUUAUGAUGAAUGGAGAAGUGUUUUCCAUUCAUCAUAGUGUUUUACAUUGAGCCCAUCAGUGUUCAACCGGUUCUUAUAAAUGUCUUCAUAUGAUGAUUUGUGUGUGUCAUUUCAAAACAAAAUACCAUUUUGAGAAGAAAUAACAUUGUUUUGAUUGUAAAGUUUAAUUUUGCAGGAGUAUUGAGGGGUUUUGCCCAUUGUGUGUGUUUUUUUAUUUGUGUGUACAGUUCUGAGAGUAUGAGGCAUGCUUUAAGAAAAUGUGUGUAAACAAUCGAGAAAAACUGAUUUUGCUGAUGCUUUUAUCCAAAGUGCAUUCAACCAAGAGGGAACAGACACAGUCAUUUCACAACAAGUUUAGCAUUCAAAUUGUUUUUAAACUGUUCUGGAAUACCAACACCUCCAGGCUUGUCAAGAAAGCUCACCAGCGCCUCUUCUUUUUGAGGACUCUCAAGAAGAAACACCUGUCUUCAGCCAUCCUGGUGAAUUUCUACCACUGCGUGAUCGAGAGCAUCCUUACUGUCACCGUAACCCUAAUCCUCACUAGUCCUGUCUAUGCAUGUCUGGCUGGCUGGCUGCAGAGGUCCCAGGUGAAUAUCAAAAAUGCAUUGUAACUCAUGGCUUUGCUGAGUCUCAAACCAGGUACCACAGAGUCCCCAGCCUGAUUCGUAUCACACUGAGCUAUCCCUUUGACAGCCAGAAGCAAGGGAAAUUGGAUCAAGUCUUUAAAAGCAGAGUCCAGAGUGCAGCUGGAGGCCUGCUGCAAAGGAAGGUGGCUUUGCUCUCAAGGAGAAAGGGGAACCUCUCCACGGGCCUGGUCCCUGUCCAAGCAGGGAAAAUGGAAGGUUUGGUCCGAGAAAGUAGAUCAAAAUGUCACAAGUUCUCCCAGUCUGUGGGUAAGUCUCAAAAGCCAUACAACCACCUAAGGAUUCCAUAAUUUUACUUUUGUGCCUUACUGACUUUGUCUGAUUGCCUGUCUGAAGAAUCCUACUUGUCUGCAUACCGCACCAGGGCUCCAAUCCCUCGGUAAAGCGGAAGGAAACGCCACAUCCAAGGUGGGAAGAGUCUGCCACUUCUUAGCCUACAUGGGGGCUGGAAAGAAUAAGCUCCACCUGUGGCACUACCUGGACAACCCCCAGCGUAUAUUCAGUUGAGUGAUUGAAUUGGAUGAAUACUUUGAAAUAAUUUUACAAGUGUUAAUCUCUGCCCCUUUUCCCUGUGCAGUUACGCAGCAAGCCUCCAGCCUGGCAAAACUAUCACCACGGCUGCAAUUUAUCUAAAAAAUGUGUCUCAGUUCAUGACCUAUUUCCAGCAAACGCCCCUGAAACAAUGCAGACUACCCGGGGCCAAAUAGUCGGUGUUAUACGGGCUCUGAAUGCCUACAAAUCCAACAUGAAUACGCCAGUAGUCCUCCACCAGCUAAAGGUUAAGUCGGAUACACUGUCCCGACUUGUUUCCCGUGAGACGCUGCGUAACUGUCAGCGGAGAGCUAACCCUGCAAUCCCAAAGCUUCUGGGUAAGUGUGCUGCAUUCAUUGAAUCCACCGAUGUGUUUGAGUUUGGCUUAAUGUGAACUUCCUUAGACUGCAUGGAGCGUGAGAACAGCAUCCAGAAAAGGUACGCUUUUUUCGGUCACUUGUCCGCCCUCCUGGCAUCCCUCUAUGGAUACUAGCCGGGUGUAUUUACGAACAUGUCCAUGGCUGAGGUGCUUGAGGCCGCGGAGGAGGAGUGCCUUGAUGGUGAGGCUGACAGUCACCAUUCCCGACACUGGCUAUGUUUUUUCGGUGGCGGGGCAUAAGACUAACCAGGACUUUGGCGCAGCACAGAUGUACCUGCGUUCUAAAGAGUCCUCCUGGUUUAAAAAGUAGCUGACUCUGUGGGAAAAAUGCAACCCCACAACGGAUCACUUUAUGGUAGGCGAUGGAGGAGGGCCAGUCACCAACCUACUCCAAUGCAUGCAAGGUGCCUGGAUUGAAAUGGGGCUGCCUGGCCGGCCAAAUUUCAUAGACCUCCGCACCGCAGUCGCAGCACAUACGAAAAGCUUCCAUAGUGAAGAUGUUCGGAGGUGCAUAGCAACUUUCAUGUGCCACGACGUAACAACCGCUGACCGCUUUUACGCACUGGUCCUGAAUCCGACGCAGGCCAAACUGCGCCGUAUCCAUCUGGAAGAAGUUGUUGCCAAGCACGUCUCCCCGUCUGCAUUGUCGUCUAACUGAAAUACCUGUUUGAAUAAAAAGUAACUCCUAUUGGCCAACGAUCCUGUAGUGUCCUGGGCAGAAAGGUGCAGCAGACCAGGACGGCGUCCAAGGCCCGGCUCGCAUCUUCUGCUACUGCAAACACUGAGUGAGUUUCUGUUGUGACUACUCCGUGAAGGGACUGCGAGGUGUACGCUGUACUACAUGUCCACAGCUCUCCAAGUGAUUGGAACAGGACAUGUCUAUGUCUAUGUCCUAUGACACGGGUCAUAGCUGUGUACGUACUGGUAAAUGUGUCCGACCAGGCCUGCAUCGCAGGCAGAACGAGGCCAGCAACAAAGCUGCUCUGGGUGUUCCUUCUCUGAGGAACAGGAGAGGAAGCUGCAGGAACUGCGAAACAAAGAGGUCCCGCAGUUCAAGGCCCAGUGUCAGAUUGGUUCGCUGGUGCAGGUGGAACAGGAAGUAAGACCCAGGUGCAGGUUUCUUACAGAGUGUUCUUUUUCAUCAUCAGAUCGACUCCCGGUGUCCUCACGCUGGCUUGGCCCGGCUCCACAGAAAGGUGGUGGAUGCUGACCGCGUUAGCUGCUCAUAGCCGGCUUACCGGUGUCCUUUCGCAGCAGUAUGCACACAGGUGGACCUUCAACCAAGUCCCGUGUCCAGUCUUAACGCUGAUGUCCGCUUUCCAGAAUCCUGUCCGCUGGAAACUACAGCAUCGUCUGCUACCUCCGGUGCCGUUCCGGCAUCAUUAAGCAGUUUUCGACUUGAAUGUAGCGGCCAAGCCGAACCUAAAGCCACUGAGGGGCUGUGUAGACAUGCUCAAAGUAGUUUUUGACGCGCUGACUACUGCACAACUAUAUUUUGUUUCGUUGAAUAAAACCGCUUACGCCUUUGCUUCUUCGUUUAAAUGCAUACUUUAUUCUUCACAAUGCCGAGUCCAUUCAACUGUCACUUAGAAACAAACAAAUGUGACGGAGACUGGAGCGGUCGAAAACUGUGUGCUCCUCCGUCUAUCAACACCUGCCACCUGGCUGAAAGUCCCCACCUAUAAAGAAAUGGGCACCAUGAUGACACCUACUGGCCCAAUUUGGUACCUUCCACCCAAUGAUAAUAUAACAACUGGCUCCUACAAUGAGUUUGUGUGGUCCAAAAACCCAACUUUAUGAAUGAGUCGGAUGGCUCUUUUUUGCAUUGUCACUAUUGGUUUUAAUGUGCUUUUGUAUGUACUGCCCCAUACCCCGGAACAAUAAUGUAAGUGGCACAAGAGUAGGGAACAGUGUAAAGUAUGCAGAGCUUUGAUGUUUAAAAAUGCUUUACUUUUGCAAUUACUGAAAUACUUAUUGAUAUUUUAGUGGUUAAAUAUUUGAUAUGAGAAUUCCAAGUAAUUCUAUCAUCUAUAAUAACUCCAAGGAAUUUGAUUUUGUGCACUCGCUCUAUAACGACACUGUCUAUCUUAAUAACUUCCUGGGCAUUGGAAUUACCUUUUCCAAAUAUCAUUUUGCAUUUACUCUGAUUUAGUGAUAGUUUUUGUUGAAACCACUUAGUAACCCGUUUGAGUUCCAAAGUAACAAUUUGACAGUUUUAAAUCGUUUCCGGAUGCAAAAAUAUUUGUAUCAUCUGCAAACAAGUAUUUUAGACGUUUUGCAAAUAUCGUUUAUAUAAAUGUUAAACAAUUUUGGGCCCAAAAUUGAACCUUGAGGUAAUCCACACACAAUUUCUUGAUAACCUGACUGAUAGUCUCCUAUUACCACACAUUGUUUCUUAUUUUUUAGAUAACUAGUAACCCACUGUAGAGCUACCCCUCUGAUACUGGUCUAACUUCUUACUUAAAAUGUCUCAAUUUUUUGAUGUACGUUUUUAUUUAAUACAAAAACUGGAAGAUGAUCGGUGAUAUCGUUUAUCAUUGGUCCGCUAACCGUAUUACUUUCUAUUUCAUUUGAAAAAAUGUUAUUGAUUAAAGUAGCACUAUAAGUUGUAAUUCUGCUCGGUUUAGUUAUUAAAUGAAACAGUCCUAUGCUAAAUAAAGUAUCAAUGAAUUCAUCAGUCUUUUUAUGUUUGGGUUUAACAGAUCGAUGUUAAGAUGACCCCCAACAAACAUAAGUUUCUGAUUUGACUGUGAAAAGUGCUCCUCCAUCCAGUUAUUAAACACAUCUAUAUUAGAUCCCGGGGUUCUAUAAAUGCAACUUACAAUUAUGUUGAACUCUGAAGGAACUCUUUGUAAAUGCUCACAUUGCUUGUUUGACUUACUUCACUUUAAUUAUAAUUAUAUUUACAAGAGAGAACCUGAAAAGUGUUUCAGUCAUACUGCUGCCCUGAGG
Molecule: long non-coding RNA, 5773 nt
Organism: Pungitius pungitius (ninespine stickleback)
Lineage: Eukaryota; Metazoa; Chordata; Actinopteri; Perciformes; Gasterosteidae
Exons: 7
Source: RefSeq, a predicted model, not a curated record